Long non-coding RNA from Sycon ciliatum, 735 nucleotides. RefSeq lists it as uncharacterized. The record is from RefSeq and is a predicted model, not a curated record. The transcript has 4 exons. Lineage: Eukaryota; Metazoa; Porifera; Calcarea; Leucosolenida; Sycettidae.
UGCUCAAACGGCUGCUGCUGUUACUCUCUGUUGCUACCAUGGUCGUUGCUUUGUAUCAAUGGCGAAAAUUCUCAGAUGAGCUUUGGGUCCGGGCACUAGAACCCUGCUGCUGCCUCUGCAGCAGUUGUAGAAAGUUUUAUAAUACCAGUGUCAAUGGUGAACUUCUGCUCUUUUUUUAUCCCAGACACUUUGUGCUCAAGAGACUGUUAGGUCUUUGUGGUGUUGUCGUUGCUGUUUGGUUAUACUAGUUGGCGUCUGUUUGGAAAUAUAUUGUGCUUUUCUGUAUGUUCAUGUGAACGUAGAAGCCCUCACCGAAACCAACACUACGUUGCUGUGUUGUUUUCUUCCAAGGUCGGGCACAAUAAAGGAGACGACUCUGUAUCAAGGCACUACCCAGAGGGAGGAUGUUGGCCUUCUCCUGAUGGGAAAAUGUCUUCUUUCUCAUGGCGUGGCCAGGACUGCACUGACCCUACCAUCCACUCUACCUCUCCGGAAGGUGACUUGACAACCAGUCAAGAUGGAAGUGCAGAGAUAUACCAGCGCUUCUAGCAUUAACUGCCAAUUUGCACUGACGCAGCAAGACUCCCAACAGUCAAAAAGAAUAAUAUAGACGUGCAGAAAAUGUAGGAGAGCGAUGACAUCAGAAGGACACUCUCAGGUUCAGGGUACCUGUACUGCCCCAAUAAAGUGGGUAAGAUCCCAAAACGAGGUUGGCCGAAGCAAAAAAAAUAGAAG